AGGGCGCGCUCCGGAGUCACGUGACCGGGACGCGCCGUUCUUCCGUCGGCCAUUUUAGGUGGUCCGCGGCGGCGCCAUUAAAGCGAAGGAGGAGGCGAGAGUGGCCGCCGCUGCUUUACUUAUUCUUUUUUUCAGCGCGGCCGGGGAGAGUGCGAGUGCGCGCUGCGCGAGAGUGGGAGGCGAGGGGGGCAGGCCGGGGAGAGGCGCAGGAGCCCUUGCAGCCACGCGCGCGCCUGGCCUUGUGUGUGUGUGCCUCGCGAGGUAGAGCGGGCGCGCGGCGGCGGCGGCGGCGGCGGGGAUUACUUUGCUGCUAGUUUCGGUUCGCGGCAGCGGCGGGUGUCGUCUCGGCGGCGGCGGCGGCGGCAGUAGCACGAUGUCGGAGGAGCAGUUCGGAGGGGACGGGGCGGCGGCGGCGGCGGCAACGGCGGCGGUAGGCGGCUCGGCGGGCGAGCAGGAGGGAGCCAUGGUGGCGGCGGCGCAGGGGGCAGCGGCGGCGGCGGCGGGGAGCGGCGGCGGCGGCGGCGGCGGCUCGGCGGCCGGAGGCACCGAGGGAGGCAGCGCCGAGGCCGAGGGGGCGAAGAUCGACGCUAGUAAGAACGAGGAGGAUGAAGGCCAUUCAAACUCCUCCCCACGACACACUGAAGCAGCGACGGCACAGCGGGAAGAAUGGAAAAUGUUUAUAGGAGGCCUUAGCUGGGACACUACAAAGAAAGAUCUGAAGGACUACUUUUCCAAAUUUGGUGAAGUUGUAGACUGCACUCUGAAGUUAGAUCCUAUCACAGGGCGAUCAAGGGGUUUUGGCUUUGUGCUAUUUAAAGAGUCGGAGAGUGUAGAUAAGGUCAUGGAUCAGAAAGAACAUAAAUUGAAUGGGAAAGUCAUUGAUCCUAAAAGGGCCAAAGCCAUGAAAACAAAAGAGCCCGUCAAAAAAAUUUUUGUUGGUGGCCUUUCUCCAGAUACACCUGAAGAGAAAAUAAGAGAGUACUUUGGUGGUUUUGGUGAGGUUGAAUCCAUAGAGCUCCCCAUGGACAACAAGACCAAUAAGAGGCGUGGAUUCUGUUUUAUUACCUUUAAGGAAGAGGAACCAGUGAAGAAGAUAAUGGAAAAGAAAUACCACAAUGUUGGUCUUAGUAAAUGUGAAAUAAAAGUAGCCAUGUCAAAGGAGCAGUAUCAGCAACAGCAGCAGUGGGGGUCUAGAGGAGGGUUUGCAGGAAGAGCUCGUGGAAGAGGUGGUGGCCCCAGUCAAAACUGGAACCAGGGAUAUAGUAACUAUUGGAAUCAAGGCUAUGGCAACUAUGGAUAUAACAGCCAAGGUUACGGUGGUUAUGGAGGAUAUGACUACACUGGUUACAACAACUACUAUGGAUAUGGUGAUUAUAGCAAUCAGCAGAGUGGUUAUGGGAAAGUAUCCAGGCGAGGUGGUCAUCAAAAUAGCUACAAACCAUACUAAAUUAUUCCAUUUGCAACUUAUCCCCAACAGCGGGAACUUCAUUGCAGGCCCUGUGUCGCGCUGACUUCACGAUUCUCACAGGCCCGCUCAAUGCGGACAGGGUACGAGAUGCUCACGCUCUCGAAUGCUGCCGUUUGGUGGUGAAGCAGUAUUUUCCAAUUUGAAGAUUCAUUUGAAGGUGGCUCCUGCCACCUGCUAAUAGCAGUUCAAACUAAAUUUUUUCUAUCAAGUUCCCGAAUGGAAGUAUGACGUUGGGUCCCUCUGAAGUUUAAUUCUGAGUUCUCAUUAAAAGAAAUUUGCUUUCAUUGUUUUAUUUCUUAAUUGCUAUGCUUCAGUAUCAAUUUGUGUUUUAUGCCCUCCCCAAUCCCCCAGUAUUGUAGAGCAAGUCUUGUGUUAAAAGCCCAGUGUGACAGUGUCAUGAUGUAGUAGUGUCUUACUGGUUUUUUAAUAAAUCCUUUUGUAUAAAAAUGUAUUGGCUCUUUUAUCAACAGAAUAGGGGAAAACUGAAAAUGUUUGUCUUGGACUCAAGUCACUAGAAGCAUAAAUUUGGAAAAAAAAAAAACAGUAAACUUUGUCUGAUUGAGGGCAUGGUUAAAAUUUUAAAUGUUUUUAGCAAAAUCUGAUUUUGCCCAAGAAUCCCUGUCUGAAUUGGAAAUGACUUAAUGUAGUCAAUUUGCCUGUUGGUUGUUUCAGUAUUUUCUGUAGCCAUUAAGUUUUAUGAGUAACUUCUUAGAUACCCGCGUUUUUCUUCAUGUGUAUUGUGCUUUUUAAAAGAACAAAUCUGGAAAAAGUGCAAGAACAUCUGCACAGUGUUUUUAAGCUUCCAUUAAAUUAGGAAAAAAAAAAAAAGGACUUAAGGAAAUCUGUUAAUUUCAAUAGAAAUGGAGCUAGUUCAGAGAGGUUUUUUUUUUAGCUUUGGUGGAUGAGGGAAGAUUUAAAAAUGCAUACUGUUUUCCUUUGUGUGUUUUCAAUUAUUUUCUUUUCUGUUUACUUAAAAGUCAAUUUUUGGGGGUUAGGGCUACUAACUGAGUCUAGGAUUUGAAGGUAAGAUGCCCCUAGAAAUUCUGUUAUUCUAAAGGUGUGUGGUGAGGUGUAAAUGAUGACUUCAGGAUGAAGUCAGGAUCAUUUGGUUUAAGUGGAAAUUAUACAAAUUGUUAAGUCUUACGCUUUUAGCAUUCAGAACAUUAAUUCUAUCAACUUGGAUGGAAAAUUCUUUGUAGUUGCUCCUGGAGUGUCUGGUAACAGGUUCAGUGCGGGUAAAUUGUAAGUUUGAUGAGUCCCUUGGAACCAGACUUGAGAAUAGCUGCUAGACAGUCACACGAGAAAUGUGCAGUGGUUGUGUGGUCACACGCCGUUGAGUGUGUGGUGUUGAAUUGUGUCUUUUAAGAAUUUGAUCCCCUCACUAGACAUUUUAAUGAUUAAAAACCAGUGUUGUCAAGUUGAGAGUUCAUGAGAGACAUCUAAAAGGGGGGCCAUGUAAAUUAAUUACAAAAAUUAAUGGAAUACAAAAAUACACCUAUUUGUUUACAUACGCCUGCUUUUGUAUUAUAGUGGCAGUGAUGUACUUAAACCUGGAAAGUUUCAAAUAAUUCUUGGCCUAUCACAGAAAGUUUGUUAUCUUGGAUCUAAACCAAUCACUUGACUCAAUCAGUUGAAUAUGUUAAGCUAGAGUACUUCAUUCAUUAUGCUUAUUUUACAUAAGGAUCUCACAUCACAAACUUGAGCAGUUUUAGCAUCGUUCAUGAGCUGCUAUUAGAUUAAUCUUGAUCCUGUAAUAGGUUUAGUGUUUAGACAGGUGUAAUUAGUAGAAAGUAGGAAGCCAUUGUCUUCAGAUUUGAUUUUAUUUUGUUAAUUAAUUUUGGAAGUCAUACUCCUGAACUGACUAAAUCUUUCUCCAAAGAAUUAUAGACAAAUAAUUGGUUUUUGUGAUUAUUUUGUUUCCAUUAAGUCACAGUUAAAAUUCUAUUCUCAGACCCAUUUUAGCUAUUAGGAAUUGACCUAGACAUUUUUCUGGCCGCUGGCCACUGAUUUAUUUCUUAAACUUUUGUUGGGAUUUAUGUAAAUCUUAAUUGUCAGCUUCGUUUUUCUCAUUUUACAUUUUCAGUCUUAGCCAGUUGCUUUCCAGAAUUCUCUUUGUCUCUCGAUUAUUCCUUUAUUUUCCUAAAUUGUUUACUUGCCUUGGCUUGCAUGUCUUCCCACAGCGCUGAGACCUAGGUGUCUUCAACACUGGAGUUAAUUCCUAGUUAGGUUGGAUAGAGAGGUUUGCUGAGAGUUUGUUGGUAAUUUGAAUCUAGGUCUUACAUGAAGUCUUUUAAGUAGGGUUUACCCUCUCCCUCAACUGUCUAGUCUAAGCAGCAGUGGCUUCUGUUGCACAGACUUACUCUUCAGUUCUGGGAAAUGUGAGUAGUUCACUCACAUUUAUAAAGAACUUCUUGGGAUGUGUGUGGUCCCCUGGGUCUUUGUUGUUGGUCCUGAGCCCUGGGCAACUUUUUUCCUAAUUUCCACUUUCUACAAUUUAAAUGAAAAACAAUUCAUCUUGGAAUUUCUCCGAUGCUCUUCUCCAUCCUGUUCUAAUUAAUCUUACCUGUGCCCUUCAUCUUUUUUCCUCCUCUAAGGCUUUACUGACAGGAUAAUCCUUUAAUCUCAAUCGUGGGAAGGCUGAAGUGGAUCACUUGAGCUCAUUUCAAGGCUGACCUGGGCAUUCAAAAAAACUCAGCCUAAAGACAGAACACUUUACAAAGGCACUUUACAUUACAUCCUGUUGCUUGGACUUCUUCCUGUUCAGAAAUUUCAUCGGACGCUAAGUGAUCCUUGGCUCACACUUUAAAAAAUGAACUUCUAUUCUUCAUUCUCUGGUCAGGCUUGCUGGAGUUUUCCAUUCUGCCUGAAGGAUAAAAUCCCGAGUUGCAGUGUUCUCAUCUCAAAGAGGGAAGAAGGCAGGUGGAUGUGUCCAGAGAACCACUGCAACUGCUUCAGAGAUACUAGUUUCUUGCCAGGAUGGGAGAGUCCAUUGGCUGCUGGAAGAUCUGGCCGUCUUACAUUGACCUCAGACUUUAAACCAGUCCUGUGUUCUCUACCCAUAUGUCUACCAGUUACUUAGGCUACCACAUCUUAGGUCAUUGGGGGCUCUGGAGGGGUAUUUUGAAAUCCCCUCCAUGCUCACAGAAUACUCGUUUUCUUAACGUUUGCUCAUAAACUCUUAAACUUACUUCUUAUUUUAUGCCUCCCACCACCUGCAUUAAAAAAAAUCCCUGGUAUUUAGUAGAAUUUCAGGAAAGUAAAUGGGUGUGUGUGCAUGUUUGUAGGUGUAGGGUCGUUAGUGGUGAGAAGCCUGAGGGAAAUAAAGCAGGUAAUUUAAAAUGUUGACAACUUAUUACUCUUUUUGAGUUGUAGUUCAGUUACAGGAACGCUUUCUUGGUCGACUGUUAGGUAGCUUUGAUCUUAGUUCAGGGUAGACCUGUUAGUACUGCCAAUCCCACUUACCCUCAAGCAAUGAGCUUUCUGGCUACCCUGUCCUGAGUCAAUUUUGUUAUCUUGGUUUACUAGGUAUCCACUAUCAGAUGAGUUGAUUUCUCUUCCUGGGGUUGGUUCUGUUUGUCCUUUUUAACUUAGUAUGUAUUACAGAGUCAGGCCGUGCCGCUGUAUUUACUCUCUGUGCACAGGGAUGACAAUUGCUUCAUUGUAUGCUGCUCCCAAGUUAGAAUUCAGUGUGUUGUGGAGAAGGCAGCUCACCCUGAGUAAGUUUGUCUUUAAGUUUCAUACUACAGUAAAGUUCUAUAUUAGAAACUUGUUUAGUUUGUGUGCUUUUAUGCUUGGAAUAUUUCUUUAGUUAAGAUUGCCUUGUGCUUUUUGUAUUCUGUGUUUAGGAUGUUGAGGUAUUCGGAUUCUUGGCAACCAAAAGGAUUGAACCCAGUAUCUAGCACAGUGUUGGUGUUGACCUAUAAACAUAAUGCCUUUUUUGAUGUGGGGGUGGUUUUAACCUGAAUUGUUAGGCUCUAGGUCCAUGCUUAACACAGUAAUAAUGAAGUUAAUUUAUUUUGGAGUGAUUUCCUAAUAGUGUGAUGGAUUUUUUUUUUCUUUUUUAAACCAAUUUUUUUGGCAAGGCUGAAAAAAAAAGGGUACAUCUUUUAUUCACCGCUGGCCACAUUAAAGCUGUUAACAGUUUAGCAUAGUUUAGAACUCUUAUCUGAAAAUUUCCUUGGGUAAAAUGAUUCUAACCGGCUAAAUACACAAUUGUGCAAAUUCAAUUUAUUGUUGAAAUUUGCUAUCAAUUGCCUAUAAUCUAGUAAUUGGAAGAAGGUUGAUUAUAAUGUACUUCAUAGAGGUGUGUAGGCCACGUACAUCUGUGAAUUGUAACGCAGUGGUGCCUGGGAUUCUUUUUUUCACAUAAACUCCCAUUAGCUAUGCUAAUGUAUUAAAGACCUGUGCUCAAAGAUAGAAUAAACGUGCUGUUCCAUGAGGUGUUCUAGUUUUUGCUCAUAUCUCUAUAAAGACAAAGAUACAUAUUUUAUAAAGUAAUCCUACAUCUAGCAUGGAAGAAAAAUAUUCAAGAUUGUUAGCAUUCUAGUGAGUGGCCGUAGUGGGGAUCACACUGACUUCAGUUUUUAAAUCCUCUACAGGCAAUAUGCAUCCCUACUGUUUGUACCUUGACCCUCUUAGCAGUGAUGUGAGUUAUCCAUUGCAUUAUGAAUUGAUUAACCACUGGCUGACUGAAAUUGUCUUGCUGUUGAACUCUUGAGUUGGACUGGUUGUGUAUUUACCCUGUUGUUCUGAGCACCUUAAAGUCUUAAGGAUGUCUGGUUGUGGCAGCUUUAUUGUAAAUGGCCUUAGGUAGAGAGUCUUGGGAUCCAGGGAGCUAUGUGAUUUAGGGAAGAUGAAGGAUGUACUUGUAAGGGCAGGGGGAAGACCUUAGGAAAUUGUACUAGGGCUGGGCUUGUGCUAAAGGAGGGAAGCCCUGAGUUUAUUCCCCAGUUUAAAAAAGAGUACAUAACAGUGUUUGAGAAUUAGAUUCUGUGUAAAGCAAAGGUGUUAGAGCAGUCCAAAUUUGUUAUUUUAAACUUAAAGUGGGAGGGAUUUUCAUUAAUUAUACUGAAAAGGUUUUAGAAUUCUAUUUUGGGAAACUUGAUGUUGGCAGCAUCACUUCAAAAGUUAAUUUGUAUCUAUUUGUAAUUGAAUUGGUUGUAUUCUGUUUGCACUCUAGAAUUUGAAGGCAAGGUUACUUCCUUGCCUUUAAUUUCUUUUAGGAAAAAAAUACUGGAAGAACUUAAGAGAUCUGUUAAUGCCAGUACUUGAAUGUGACAUUAACAUGUCAUGGACACUGCUUUAAAUAAAUACUUGAGAAAAGGAAUUACAUAAUUGCCUUUUUUGUUGUUGUUGUAUGAAUGGGCGUGAUUAUAUUGAGUUUAAUUACAUUUUUUAUACAACUGGUAUGAGACUGAAAUGGAAUCCUUACUAAAAUUUUUGGAAGAUGGCCUUUUGAGUAUUAGAGAUGGCUAAAUCAGUAAAUAAAACUUUGAAACAGAAACUUGUAAAUUACUUCUACAAUCACUGAUCUAUAAAGCAUGCUACUGUCAAUCAGGUUUAUGUAUUAAGACCUAUCAGCAUGUCUUUUUUAGUACUUGGUUGACUUCAUUUUAAAUUAUAAGAUAUUCUCUGUACCGUUUACCAUUUUCAGAACUUAUUCUUCCCAGACCAAUUCCACUGGGACUGUUUCCAUUGUAGAGGCUUCCUUACACUUCAGAUGAAGCUUACAGUGGGCUUUCAUGAGGUUUUAAUUUGCACUAAAUUUUAUUUUCUGAAAGAUCACUUAAUGUUUAUAAUGUAGUGCUUUUGUCUUACAAUUAAACUUUUAUAGCACUCA
Peromyscus californicus insignis is the source of this 7307-nucleotide RNA transcript. It is a transcript of the gene named heterogeneous nuclear ribonucleoprotein D, with no coding region annotated. The record is from RefSeq and is a predicted model, not a curated record. The transcript is spliced from 10 exons. Lineage: Eukaryota; Metazoa; Chordata; Mammalia; Rodentia; Cricetidae.